CCUACGGGGGGCAGCAGUGAGGAAUAUUGGUCAAUGGCCGAGAGGCUGAACCAGCCAAGUCGCGUGAGGGAUGACGGCCCUACGGGUUGUAAACCUCUUUUGUCGGGGAGCAAAGAGAGUCACGUGUGGUUCAUUGAGAGUACCCGAAGAAAAAGCAUCGGCUAACUCCGUGCCAGCAGCCGCGGUAAUACGGAGGAUGCGAGCGUUAUCCGGAUUUAUUGGGUUUAAAGGGUGCGCAGGCGGAGGUGCAAGUCAGUGGUCAAAUUGCGGGGCUCAACCCCGUACUGCCGUUGAAACUGCAUCCCUUGAGUGCGCGAGAAGUAUGCGGAAUGCGUGGUGUAGCGGUGAAAUGCAUAGAUAUCACGCAGAACUCCGAUUGCGAAGGCAGCAUACCGGCGCGCAACUGACGCUCAUGCACGAAAGCGUGGGUAUCGAACAGGAUUAGAUACCCCAGUAGUC
RNAcentral lists this ribosomal RNA (459 nucleotides) under uncultured bacterium. RNAcentral's name for it is "partial 16S ribosomal RNA". It matches the Rfam family "Bacterial small subunit ribosomal RNA", at positions 338 to 795 of the family's 1533-position model. The record is from RNAcentral.